AUUGAACGCUGGCGGCAUGCCUUACACAUGCAAGUCGAACGGUAACGGGCCUUCGGGUGCCGACGAGUGGCGAACGGGUGAGUAAUGUAUCGGAACGUACCUUUCAGUGGGGGAUAACGUAGCGAAGUUACGCUAAUACCGCAUAUUCUGUGAGCAGGAAAGCAGGGGAUCGCAAGACCUUGCGCUGAUUGAGCGGCCGAUGUCAGAUUAGCUAGUUGGUGAGGUAAAGGCUCACCAAGGCGACGAUCUGUAGCGGGUCUGAGAGGAUGAUCCGCCACACUGGAACUGAGACACGGUCCAGACUCCUACGGGAGGCAGCAGUGGGGAAUUUUGGACAAUGGGGGCAACCCUGAUCCAGCCAUGCCGCGUGAGUGAAGAAGGCCUUCGGGUUGUAAAUCGCUGUCAGUGGGAGGAAAUAUUGGUGGGUUCUCCCGAUCAGUUUGACCUAUCCGCAGAGGAGGACGGCUAAGUCGUGCCAGCAGCGAC
RNAcentral lists this ribosomal RNA (486 nucleotides) under uncultured bacterium. RNAcentral describes it as "bacterial SSU rRNA". It matches the Rfam family "Bacterial small subunit ribosomal RNA", at positions 30 to 518 of the family's 1533-position model. The record is from RNAcentral.